Molecule: ribosomal RNA, 484 nt
Filed under: uncultured bacterium
Lineage: Bacteria
Description: partial 16S ribosomal RNA
Rfam family: Bacterial small subunit ribosomal RNA
Source: RNAcentral
AUUGAACGCUGGCGGCAGGCCUAACACAUGCAAGUCGAGCGGAUGAAGGGAGCUUGCUCCUGGAUUCAGCGGCGGACGGGUGGGUAAUGCCUAGGAGUCUGCCUGGUCUAGGGGGCUAACGUCCGUAAACGGGCGCUAAUACCGCAUACGUCCUGAUGGAGAACGUGGGGGAUCUUCGGACCUCACGCUAUCAGAUGAGCCUAGGUCGCAUUAGCUAGUUGGUGGGGUAAAGGCCUACCAAGGCGACGAUCCGUAACUGGUCUGAGAGGAUGAUCAGUCACACUGGAACUGAGACACGGUCCAGACUCCUACGGGAGGCAGCAGUGGGGAAUAUUGGACAAUGGGCGAAAGCCUGAUCCAGCCAUGCCGCGUGUGUGAAGAAGGUCUUCGGAUUGUAAAGCACUUUAAGUUGGGAGGAAGGGCAGUAAGUUAAUACCUUGCUGUUUUGACGUUACCAACAGAAUAAGCACCGGCUAACUUCGUG